UGGUGGGUUGCCUUGUCAGGUUGAUUCCGGUAACGAACGAGACCUCAACCUGCUAAAUAGUCACGGUUGCUUCUCGCAGCCGGCCGACUUCUUAGAGGGACUACUGGCGAUUAGCCAGUGGAAGUGUGAGGCGAUAACA
Molecule: ribosomal RNA, 139 nt
Filed under: uncultured eukaryote
Lineage: Eukaryota
Description: partial 18S ribosomal RNA
Rfam family: Eukaryotic small subunit ribosomal RNA
Source: RNAcentral